RNAcentral lists this ribosomal RNA (446 nucleotides) under uncultured bacterium. RNAcentral's name for it is "bacterial SSU rRNA". It matches the Rfam family "Bacterial small subunit ribosomal RNA", at positions 37 to 507 of the family's 1533-position model. The record is from RNAcentral.
GAACGCGUGGCGGUAUCGACCUAACACAUGACAAGUCUACGGGGGGGGGUAGGUUUUAACUCUAGGUGGCGGACGGGUGAGUAACACGUGAGAAUUUGCCUUUAGGAGGGGGAUAACAAUCGGAAACGAAUGCUAAUACCCCAUAUGCUUUUGAGUGAAAUGGAUUUAUCCGCCUAAAGAGAAGCUUGCGGCUGAUUAGCUUGUUGGUAGGGUAAUGGCCUACCAAGGCGACGAUCAGUAUCUGGUUUGAGAGGACGAUCAGACACACUGGAACUGAGACACGGUCCAGACUCCUACGGGAGGCAGCAGUAGGGAAUUUUCCGCAAUGGGCGAAAGCCUGACGGAGCAAUACCGCGUGAGGGAUGACUGCCUAUGGGUUGUAAACCUCUUUUUCAGGGAGGAAUAAAUGACGUGUACCUGAAGAAUAAGCAUCGGCUAACUCCGUG